AGGAAGUGGGGGGAGGAAGGAAGGAAGAGAGGGAGUGAGAGAAAGUGACAGGAAAGCACGAAGGAAGGGAGGAAGGAAGUCAGGAGGGCAGAAUGGAAAGAAGGAAGUAAAGGAAGAGAGUAAAGACUGUAGGGAGGGACAAAGGCAGGCAGGAAGGAAGUCAGGAGGGCAGAAUGGAAAGAAGGAAGUAAAGGAAGAGAGUAAAGACUGUAGGGAGGGAGGAAGGCAGGCAGGAAGGAAGGCAGGCAGAGAGGGAGGGAGGAAGAAAGGAAAGGAAG
This 278-nucleotide long non-coding RNA is filed under the name Gallus gallus (chicken). RNAcentral's name for it is "lncRNA (ENSGALG00010022484.1)". The record is from RNAcentral. Lineage: Eukaryota; Metazoa; Chordata; Aves; Galliformes; Phasianidae.